This 503-nucleotide ribosomal RNA is filed under the name Neotricula aperta. Its description in RNAcentral is "partial 16S large subunit ribosomal RNA". It matches the Rfam family "Bacterial large subunit ribosomal RNA", at positions 1816 to 2597 of the family's 2925-position model. Lineage: Eukaryota; Metazoa; Mollusca; Gastropoda; Littorinimorpha; Pomatiopsidae. The record is from RNAcentral.
GGCUCUUUGAAAUAAAUACAUAAAGAGUCGAACCUGCCCAGUGAUUUUUUAAACGGCCGCGGUACUCUGACCGUGCAAAGGUAGCAUAAUCAUUUGCCCUAUAAUUGAGGGCUUGUAUGAACGGUUUGACAAGAGCAUGACUGUCUCUUAAAAAUUUUAUAGAAUUUGGUUUUUAGGUGAAGAAACCUAAAUAUAAUUGAAAGACAAGAAGACCCUAUCGAGCUUUAGAGCAAUUAAUUAAAAAAUAUAAUUAAAAUAAUUAAUUUUAAUUAAAAACUUUGGUUGGGGCGACUGAGGAACAUAUAAAGCUUCUUUAAUUAGAAUAUGCUUAUAAGCUAUGAUCCAAAAAGUUUGAUUAAAAAAAUUAGUUACCGUAGGGAUAACAGCAUAAUCUUUUUCAAGAGUUCUUAUCGAAAAAAAGGUUUGUGACCUCGAUGUUGGACUAGGAUAUCUCAAAGAUGCAGAAGUCUUUAAUAGUUGGUCUGUUCGACCAUUAAAAUCCU